Molecule: small nucleolar RNA, 132 nt
Organism: Meriones unguiculatus (Mongolian gerbil)
Lineage: Eukaryota; Metazoa; Chordata; Mammalia; Rodentia; Muridae
Source: Ensembl
CCUGCCCUUAGAGGUAUUGCAAGUAUGGCUGCUGUGUUACAUAUGCUUCAGUAGGUGGCAGAGAGGAGAAAAGCUAUAUCUAUGCUUAGUGUUCUGAGCUUUGAGUAUUUUAAUUAAUAGUAGCCUAACAUU